Long non-coding RNA from Cyprinus carpio carpio, 1616 nucleotides. NCBI's taxonomy places the organism in Eukaryota, Metazoa, Chordata, Actinopteri, Cypriniformes, Cyprinidae. The record is from Ensembl.
CUUCAGUCACUCAAAGUUGAGGUGCUGCCCACAAAGCUAUGACUGACAUCUGUACCGACUCGUGACAGGUUUUCUACAUUGUCAGAUUACACUUAGUCUAUUCAGACCAAUAAUUUCAUGGCCAGUGUUAGAAGAGCAUAAUAUCCUUGUAAUUUGAAUGAAGAAGCUUUCAGCUGGUGGCAGCCAGCAGUCCACUGUAAUUUCACCUGCUAAAGGUCUUGCCUGUACUGCAGCGUGGCUCCCUUGAGGAGGUUCUCCAUAGCAACCGGCCUUUGUAACUCGCAGACAUGUAACAGUUCACAAUGAGAGCAAAUGAGGAAUAUUCAAACAGCAACACAAGGCCGGCGACAGCUCGCCGUUAUCUGAUGUUCACUCUCCGAGUAAAACUCCCGUUAGUGUGACUGAAUCAGAGCGCUGUGGUAAGAAUAACUAAUGGCCAGAUGGAGCAGUGUUGAUCAUCGCAGUCUGUUCGCUUCCCAUCAUAAAGACAAACUCAGAGCUUUCAAGUAUAAAUGCAUUAAUCAGAUGCAAGACAAAUGCUGUCGAUGGCGAUGUCUUCAUAUACCAUUUCUUGAUUAUAUCGCAGCAGGAUGGCGCUAAUGAAAGCCGUGUCUCAAAGUUUCUCAUAACUGCUAUAACACUCAUGGAUCCGAGACCAGUGUUUUAUUUAGCACAAGAUCAGUGAUGGACGGACAGACUCCAGCAAGACAGAUGGGCAGAUGUGGCUUCACAGCAGCAGAACAAACUGUUCUUACUCUCGCCAAGCUCAGCUGGAGGGAUGUCGCUGAUACCCAUGAUGCUUUAGGUUACUACUGAGUGACAGAUGCUGUAACACUGGCAGAGGUUCAAUGAAUUGGAAUAGCAUUAAGGACAUUCGAAGCUUCCUCCUCUGUUUUAAUUAACAGCAACCUCUGAUAAGUAUUUCUAAACCCCUGGCAAUGACAGUAAGCUCACAAGGAGAUGCAAUAAACUUGUGCACCAUAAUGUUACACUGGCUAUAGGGUAAACUUGCACACAUGAAAACAAAAUGUGUUUACUGACUGACUGUCUGAUCUCAAAUGUAGGAUCUGUAGGCUCUGCUUAUGCUGUUUUACUCUGCCGCAUCUGAACUCAAGCACAUCGAUGGGUCAAAAGGUGCAGCAGAACCAAGCACACAAACUGUCAGCCGUGAGAAACAUGCCGAAUGCUUCCUCACCUCCUCAACACUCGGAGAGUUUCAACAUCUGUAUUCUGUGUUAAUUAACUGAUUAAUCCGAAUUGAGAAAAGAGAUCUCGUCUUAACGCUUACCAUGGUGCCAACUGUCAGCGCCGCUAGUCAAAUGGGCGCUGGAGAUGUUUGGACUCUCUGUCACUGUUGAAGCUUGAGUGGAUUUUAAUUAGCACGAGGAUGAUUGUACUGAUUAUGACAUGGGUGAGAAAAAUCGCUUUUCGCUUUUAUUGUCAUAGAAAUUGUAGUGAGAUAAAACAAUAAUUGGCAGAUCCCCUAAAAUGUUAAUGUAGGACAAUGUGAAGAUCAGAGAUCAAAAAUCAUAGUCAAAUCUCCUGCUGUUGUAAAAUGUUAAUGGGUAGUUGAUAUGGACAUGAACUUUUUGUAUUUAUAUUUAUUUAUAGUUAUA